GUUCUCAAAUCGUUGAAAUUUCAAUUUCUUCUCUCUCUCUACGCUAUCAGAUCUCCUCUAAUUCUAGGGUUUUACCGUUACUUGGAUCGCUUUCGCCUUUACUCAGAACAAGUCUUCGCUCUUUUCCUUCUUUUAGAUCCUUGGAUCUUGGAAAUUUUGUUUAUUUCAAUUUAAAUGGAGGCGAUCGAAGAGUUGGGGCAGCUUUCAGAGUCCAUGAGGCAAGCGGCGGCUUUGCUUACCGACGAAGAUGUUGAUGAGAACCCCAGCUCCACUUCUAGACGGAGUUCUACUUUUCUUAAUGUUGUUGCUCUUGGGAAUGUUGGUGCUGGUAAAUCUGCAGUUCUAAACAGCUUAAUUGGACACCCUGUUCUGCCAACUGGUGAAAAUGGUGCUACUCGUGCUCCUAUAAGCAUUGAUUUACAGAAUGAUGGCUCUUUGAGCAGCAAAUCAAUUUUUUUGCAAAUUGACAAUAAAUCCCAGCAAGUUUCUGCAAGUGCAUUACGGCAUUCUUUACAGGAAAGGCUCAGUAAGGGAGCCUCAGGCAUGAGCCGGGAUGAAAUAUAUUUGAGACUACGGACAAGUACAGCACCUCCUCUGAAAUUGAUAGACUUACCUGGCCUAGAUCAACGCAUCAUGGAUGAAUCUGUGGUUAGUGACUAUGCGGAGCACAAUGAUGCCAUCUUGUUAGUUAUCA
RNAcentral lists this unclassified non-coding RNA (694 nucleotides) under Hevea brasiliensis (rubber tree). The record is from RNAcentral. Lineage: Eukaryota; Viridiplantae; Streptophyta; Magnoliopsida; Malpighiales; Euphorbiaceae.